This 2298-nucleotide ribosomal RNA is filed under the name Ulva expansa. RNAcentral describes it as "23S ribosomal RNA". It matches the Rfam family "Bacterial large subunit ribosomal RNA". The record is from RNAcentral. Lineage: Eukaryota; Viridiplantae; Chlorophyta; Ulvophyceae; Ulvales; Ulvaceae.
CUUUUACUGCGAAAAGGGCUUGGAGAGUUAAGCAAGUCCAUGUUCUAGAGGUGGCGUAAGGCUGCCCCUUUUAUAUACUUGCCUAUAGUUAUAAAUAUUAUAAUCUCUAUUGUAAGUAGAUUUUCUAUUUUACUAGUAUAUUAGAAUGUUGCAUACAACUAUAGAAUUCGUCUGAUAAGUCCGUUCUCUAAGGUGGAAACACUGUAUAAAACAGCAUACACCAAAACUCAAUGAACUAAAAGAUUUUAUUAAUUGAAGGAAAAGAAACCAACCGGGAUUGCGCUAGUAGUACAGAGCGAAGGCGCAAAAGCUUAAAUAAUUUUUUGUUUACCAGUCGAACUUAAGUGGAAUCCGGACCAAAGAAAGUUAUAGUCUUGUAGAUUGUAAACAAAAAAAGUGCUGCGAUUAAAUUAAUCUUUAUUUGUGCACAUAUUAGUACUUAUUGCUUAAAACCUACUUUAUAUAAAUAAUACGCGUUAUUUAUAUACAGUUUAAAUCGGAGUAAAUAAGCGAGUUAGUGGUUUUACACUGCUAAAUAAUUGACGGAUACCACUCUGUUGGCUAAAUACUCUAUGUAGAUCGAUAGUGAAUCAGUACUGUAAAGGAAUUAGGAAACAAGAAUGCCAUUGCUUCUCUGAAUACAAGUCCCGAAACAGGUUGCUUAUAAUGACUUUCAGUUUGGCAGCUAUAAUGUUGAAUAGAAAGGUUCCUUUUGAAUCAUGAGCUGAUGACUUUGUGUUGGUUUAAGGCAUAUUAUUAAUCGUGUGUUUAAUAUAAGUGGCUUAAUUUAUUAAAAGUAAGCUUAUUAUGAAAAUAAUCAUAAAAAACUAACACAAGACGCGAAACGAAGUGAGCUUAGGUAGACCAGGGGGAAGGUUGCCGGAAGGUAGUUGGACGCCCGAAGUGGUAUGCGUUGCAACGCAUUCAUAUGAGUUUACUUAAGUGGCGAAAUACCAAUCGAACUUCGAAAUAUCUCGUUUUUUGCGAAACCUUUUUAGGAAGGGGGCCUGCAGAAUAAAUGCUAACUAGGUAGAGCGCUGUAAAACUGAUGGGAAGGAAACUUUUACUGAGGUGUUGCAAACCACAAAUUAGGGGCAUUUUGCCAGGUACUCAGUCAGUGCGGGACAAGCUGCAUUUGACAAGAAGGAAACAGCCUAGACUAUUAAUUAAGGCCCGUAAAUAGCGCUAAGUGAGAAAGUAAUUAACUUCACAAAAAUUAGUAGGACGUUUGAUUAGCAGCAUCUACCGUUUAAAGAAAGCGUAAUAGCUCACUACUAUAGUUUAGUUGUUGCGAAAAUUUAGCCGGACUAAGCGCUAUGCCGAAAUUAUAGCUAACUUUAUUUUGUUAUAUUUUCCCUUUUAAAAAGGAUUUACUUUUUAAAAGGGAAAAUAUAGCAAUAAAGCCAGUUAGAGUAGCAAAACGAACCAUGUUGAUAAAAUUAUGUCGGUAAGACUUAAUGAAAAUAUUGGUUGUGAAUAUAUCAGCUAGAGUAACACAUAAAUUGAGAUGUUUUAAUUAAUGCAGCUUUGUAUUUAUUGGUUAAUUACUUGAAUUUAUACAAAGAUGUAUUAAUUCAGAACAGUAUCCCAAUGAUCGGAAAUCCUGGGUUUUCUACACAACUAUUAAAGAUGUAGUUAAAAAUACGGUCCCUAAGUAUUAUAAAGAUUACGAUGGGUACUUGCUGUGACCAACAAAACCUUAUAAAUAGGUCUGUUGCAGGAAACAGUAGCAAGAAAUUACGUGCAUAAUAUUUGUUUUACGCGUACUAUAAGCACCGUACUAAAACUGACUCUGGUGGAUUGGUAGACUUUACUAAGAUUUGGUUAUAAUCGCUCGUAAGGAACUCGGCAAAUUGCGCUGGUACUUUCGAAAACAGCGGUCUAAAAGUGGUGUUUUAGAUCUCAGAUAAGAAAACUGGGUGACAGUUUACUAAAAACGAUGUUGCCUCAGGUCAUCCUAGAGCUGCACAAGGUUCUAAGGGCGCAACUGUUCUUUGCAUAAUGACCUACGUGAGGUGAGUUUAAACCGCCGUAAGGCAGGUUUGGUUCUAUCUAGACAGCCAGAAUAUUUAACCAAGCACUAGAAUUCCACUGUACGAAAGGACCCGGAAUUCCACGCCAAUGGUUUAGCAAUUGUUUUGAAAAAAGCAUUGUUGCAACGCUAAGCGUGAAAUGUUAAUUGCUGAAAAACUAUCAAGCAAGAAACAAUUGUAAAGGUUAUAGUAGAUCGCAUUUGCGUGAAUAGGCGCGGGGUGUAAGCUUUGUAACAUGCUGAGCUACCGCGUACUAAUUACUUUU